GCAUGGCCGAAUUCUGUACCAACAGGUCUGUGGUGGAUACAGUCAGACACCAUGCAACAUUCUUCUCUCAUUUCUCCUAAGUGACUGGAUGAGUUCUGUCUUGAGCCUCAUCCAGCUGUGUAGAUAUGAGUACAAUG
This 137-nucleotide small nucleolar RNA is filed under the name Monopterus albus (swamp eel). Its description in RNAcentral is "Small nucleolar RNA SNORA15 (ENSMALG00000005270.1)". It matches the Rfam family "Small nucleolar RNA SNORA15". From Rfam's summary of the family: ACA15 is a member of the H/ACA class of snoRNA that guide the sites of modification of uridines to pseudouridines. Lineage: Eukaryota; Metazoa; Chordata; Actinopteri; Synbranchiformes; Synbranchidae. The record is from RNAcentral.